AUUUAGCGAGCUGAGUGGGGAGGAGAGAGGGACAGAGAGCCUGCUUGCUUUAAAGGAACCAACCGGACAGGAGCCGCUUAUACUCGUGUAGCGGCUCCUCUCCUCUCCCGCUUUGCUACUUUAAAGAAGCAGGCUCUCUGUCCCUCUCUCCUCCCCACUCAGUGGCUCUUCUC
This 173-nucleotide microRNA precursor is filed under the name Podarcis lilfordi (Lilford's wall lizard). Lineage: Eukaryota; Metazoa; Chordata; Lepidosauria; Squamata; Lacertidae. The record is from RNAcentral.